RNAcentral lists this small RNA (110 nucleotides) under Octodon degus (degu). Its description in RNAcentral is "Y RNA (ENSODEG00000025285.1)". Lineage: Eukaryota; Metazoa; Chordata; Mammalia; Rodentia; Octodontidae. The record is from RNAcentral.
AUCUUAAAAUAGUGGGACAGGUCCAGGUGCUUGGAGUCACAGCUAAUUGGUCCCAACCAGUUACAGAUUUCUUUGUUCCUUCUCCACUCCCACUGCUUCGCUUGGUUUAU